RNAcentral lists this ribosomal RNA (372 nucleotides) under uncultured organism. Its description in RNAcentral is "bacterial SSU rRNA". It matches the Rfam family "Bacterial small subunit ribosomal RNA", at positions 526 to 896 of the family's 1533-position model. The record is from RNAcentral.
CGUAGGUGGCAAGCGUUGUCCGGAUUUAUUGGGUUUAAAGGGUGCGUAGGCGGUCCUAAUAAGUCAGUUGUGAAAUACGGCAGCUUAACUGUCGAGGUGCAAUUGAUACUGCAGGACUUGAGUACAGACGAGGUAGGCGGAAUUGACGGUGUAGCGGUGAAAUGCUUAGAUAUCGUCAAGAACAACCGAUAGCGAAGGCAAGCUUACUAGACUGUAACUGACGCUGAUGCACGAAAGUGUGGGGAUCAAACAGGAUUAGAUACCCUGGUAGUCCACACUGUAAACGAUGAUUACUCGAGUGUUGGCGAUACACAGCCAGCGUCUUAGCAAAAGCGAUAAGUAAUCCACCUGGGGAGUACGCCGGCAACGGUG